CCACCCCAUCUGCUCUGACCGCUGGCCUAGAUCUGUACCGCUGGGCCCCUUCUGCUCCAGUGCCUGGCAGCCCCACUCCCGCGCCAGACCAGCUGGCUGGGCCUGGGAAGAGAUGUAACCUGACUGCAUCAGCUUAUAAGUCUGGGUACCAUGGAAUGGGUAUAUCAAGGCGAGUGCUGGAGGCUUUGAAACUGUGGAAAUCAUGACUCCUGAGAGCUCCAGGACUCUGUGAAAAGAAGGGAAUUGAUCUUUUCUCCCCCAGAAGAAGCCUGCCUCAGGUGAAAGCCUGGAUUGGCAUUUCCCACAGCAUCACUGACCUGAGCCAAAAAAUCCGCUUCUGUGACCAGUGGGCUUCUGACUAGGAUCAGGUGACCAUACCAUUUCCUCUCCCCCUCCUCCCAUACACAAACACACCUUCCUCCGCCUUCCUCAUACAUAAUCACACAUGCACAGCUGAACGUUUCCCAAGCUCCCCUAGGACUGACGAGGAGACAGUUUCUCUCCUCAGACAUCCCUCAGGGAAACAGGGGAGACUUGGACUCCAUCCUCAAGGAACUCCUGGUCUGAUAAGGGAGAAAUAGCCCCUGUAUUUAGGCGGCCUCUGAUCUGAUGGGGGAAACACAGUCCCCACCCUCAACGAAUCCUGAUCUUAUAGGAAAAGCCCCAUCCUUGCCUUCAGGGAUUCCUCAGUCUGAUAGAAGAGACAGAGCCUUGUGUGUAUGGGGGCAUGAAGACUGAUGGGAGUCGGUGGGGUGGAGAAUGAUUGUGUAUGGAUGCUCACCAGAUACAAAAAAAGAAGCCUUGCCUGAGUAUAAACUGGUUUGGUUUGGGGGAGGAGGGUGCUAUACUUAUCUCCCCAAAGUCAUGUACACAAAGCAAGUGCUUCAUAAAUGUUUGUUGAAUGAAUAUUGAAAAUUCAGGAUAUUUCAGCAAAGCAUGUUCACGGUCUGAA
Non-coding RNA from Phascolarctos cinereus (koala), 952 nucleotides. The record is from RefSeq and is a predicted model, not a curated record. Lineage: Eukaryota; Metazoa; Chordata; Mammalia; Diprotodontia; Phascolarctidae.